Molecule: long non-coding RNA, 290 nt
Filed under: Mytilus galloprovincialis (Mediterranean mussel)
Lineage: Eukaryota; Metazoa; Mollusca; Bivalvia; Mytilida; Mytilidae
Source: RNAcentral
AAAGAGAUGAUAGUUUUAAACAGAAUACUACACAAGUAUGUUGAGCAUUUUAUUUUAUUGUUUUAAAGGGUACUAAAUCUGUGAUCUCAAUUAUUACUUAGUUAUUUUAUUCUGGUGCUUAUAUUGUUAAGUGAUUCUUGAAAUAAGGAAGCAAUUUCAAGGUUUCUACAAAGAAAUUGAGUCAACCAUUUAAGUGGUCAUACAGAACAACCAUUUGAUUGGUUCAUUUAGACCACUUAGUAUUUUCUUGGUCUGUCCCCUCUCUACCAUAUAGUCUUAACGUUUCCUUA